This 253-nucleotide ribosomal RNA is filed under the name uncultured bacterium. RNAcentral's name for it is "partial 16S ribosomal RNA". It matches the Rfam family "Bacterial small subunit ribosomal RNA", at positions 524 to 776 of the family's 1533-position model. The record is from RNAcentral.
UACGUAGGUGGCAAGCGUUGUCCGGAAUUAUUGGGCGUAAAGCGCGCGCAGGCGGUCCUUUAAGUCUGAUGUGAAAGCCCACGGCUCAACCGUGGAGGGUCAUUGGAAACUGGGGGACUUGAGUACAGAAGAGAAGAGUGGAAUUCCACGUGUAGCGGUGAAAUGCGUAGAGAUGUGGAGGAACACCAGUGGCGAAGGCGACUCUUUGGUCUGUAACUGACACUGAUGAACGAAAGCGUGGGGAGCAAACAGG